This 201-nucleotide long non-coding RNA is filed under the name Capsella grandiflora. RNAcentral's name for it is "long non-coding RNA (CGRA_LNC001454)". Lineage: Eukaryota; Viridiplantae; Streptophyta; Magnoliopsida; Brassicales; Brassicaceae. The record is from RNAcentral.
AAAAUAAAAUCUAAAUUUUAAAUUGAAAUAAUCAAAACUAAUUAGUUCCAAAACAAACCAAAUAUUCCAAAUCCAAGAUUGUUAAACGAGAUAAAACCAAAUCGGAACAAAGAAUAUUACACGGUCAAACUUUUUGAAAGAGAGAUCAACACAUGAAAGCAAAUUCAUAAGAAACAUAACAAAACCAAAAAGCAAUUAANN